AACCCAAACUGGUUUAUGUUAGGAGAAAACAGUUUGAUGUCAGUUCGUGUCAUUUGGAAAGAAGCCUAUUUAAACUGGGCAUUAUGACAACUCAUAGUGCUUCGUCUGUUUGUUUCACAGCAUAAAAGACAUUGGCCCUAGUGGUAAAGAGACCUAGUGGAAGACACCAUUGCUGAUCUCCUGGGCAAAGUAGGGCAGAGCUUGCUGAGUUGUGGGAGGAAGCACUGCCCUGAGAGCCAGCGGUGUUCCAGACUCCUCCAUCCUCCUCCUCUUCCCAGCUGGGAUGGCGAGUUCCUGUGACUGGCCCGUCACUCUCCCCCCAGCCAUCUUGCAUAGAUUUGGAAUCUUUAAGGAAAGAAUGAAUUAACUCUUUGCAACAGCUAUAUAAAACAAUCAUCAGAAUAAUAAUUCCUUGCAGAUGCAGCAUUUAAGUGUCUUUGUAAUUUUAUCUACUCCAUCUCCACGGCAAGGCAAAUAUUAUUACUCAUUUUUUAGAGAGCAGGAAACUAAAAUCCAUAAAGCUUCAAUGAUACACAGAAAGUUAACAAACCAUAGAAUGAAGACCUCCUGAUUUAUGGAUCAAUGCUUUUUCCCUUACACAAAGUUGGACAGGAAUUUCAAAACUGAAAAGAACUUAUCACAACAUUCCCGGCAAGAAAUUUCACACCUCAAUUAAGAUAAAUCUGUUCCUCUUAAUGAACAUGGUUUACUGUAGCCCUGGUUUUAUCCUCCAUUCAGUAUGUACUUUAUAUAUACAACGGAUACUAUAAAUAUGAGGUAUGAUAAAGGACAACUGUCUAGCUUGCUUGGGGUGAAGCAGAGAUGAACAGAACACGAAAAGGGGGAAAAAUUUUUAUAAGAUUUUGAAUAUCAGAAUUAUGGUGAAAGAAGAAAAAUUCACAUAUAGCCAUGGAAAUCUAAAAUGUAUUAGAACUACAUACUUGAAAUGUAUUAGAUACUAAAGAGGCAAAGAAUAUAUACGUAGUGGUUUUGAAAAGACAGAAGGAAAAAAUGUGGAGGAUAAGGAGAGGAAAGGAGAAAGGAAAGCAGAGAGAAAUCCAAGAGGCUUUAAUGUUUGAGGAAGUGGGACAUCAGUAUCCCAUUCUAAACAAAGAUCUUUAAUUUGAAGACUGGAAUAAGUCCUUAAUUACCUCCGAAAAUACUGUACAGAAUCAAAACAUACUUUGCAGUAAUAAUACUGUGUAAAAUGAUGAAAGAAAAGGAAACACAUUCCCUUGCCUGGAAACUUCCAUCUGCACCUCUACUUUCCCACAUGACAGGACAUUUAUGAAAGUCUUCUGAUUUGUACAUAGCUUUAUAUGAAGAGUUUAAGGGCAGAAAAUUGGCUCUUCCAGGCCUUUCCUUGAAGGACAGCUGUCACCCUGUAGGAUCAAGCCUAUGAUAGACCAAUAGGUUCGGGCCAAGUACAUAAGGCACAGGGCAAUUAAUUUCUUCUAACUGUGGCAUCUCAUCCCCCAGCAAGGCCCAGGUGAAUCUGACAGUCUCCCAGUGGGGUUCAUUGUAGCCACAGGAAGGGGCUGUCUGUGCACAAGGGGGAGGGUUGGGAUGCUCCUCUUCCUGCUGCUGGAAGUGCUGCCGAUAACCAGGACUGCUGCCUCUGUAUAUAGGAUUAUAAAUUUAUAUAAUACCAUAUUUAUGAUUUAUAUUAUACAAGCAUAGGCUUUCUACCAUCCACUGACAAGCAACACGAGUUAAAAACCCAAUAUAAAUAACACACUGACCCCUUUAGAAAAAUGAAGACAUGCAAGUGAACCUUUCUUUUAGAGACAAGCUAAACUUCUAAUAAAUGUUUCUUACAGAAAAGAUAAGAGAGGUCUAAUUUUUAAUCAUAGGAUUCAUAUCAUCAAAUUUAAGACAGGCUAGAGAAGAUCACAGGGUAACUGUCUCCAUCAACUGGUAGACUAUGAUGGUUUAGCUCUUUCUUCCGCACAUUACACAUUUAACUUACUCACAGAAAGGAUGUGUGCUGUAACUACAGAUGAUCUGAAGAGUAGAAGACAUUUUUAGAAUCUGAGGAAAAGUGGUUUUGUGAUAGAACAGAGGUGAUCCUGAGGUUGGGAAAGACACAUGAAAAUCCUGAAUAUACUGCUAAAGGAUCUCUUUGUGCCCAGGGUCUGAUUAACAUCUUCCUACAGCAUUUUGGAUCUAUUUCAAGUCUACUAGAUUACAUUUCCCAUGAUGAUAUGACUGAUUUCACAAUAGAAAUAAUGAUAAAAACAAAAUUUUCAUAAAGCUAGCUAUUUUAAUGAGGUCGAGGAGAUUCAUGAUUUUUAAAAUGUAGUCAAAUUACUACAUAUACACACAUGUGAAUUUCCAGAAUAGAGCUAAUAUCAUAUUCCCUUAUGUGGCACUGUAAGAGUACUGAAUAUAAUGUGAUAAACUUAACAGAAUUUAUCUUCUUGUUCGAAUUUUGUUCAUUCCAGAAAUGUUCAUUAUUUAGUCAAAAGAUAAUCCCUUAAAUCUGCUGCUAUAUGGUAGAAAAGAGAUGUUGGAACAUUUUUAAGAAAGUUACAAAAAUAAGUGGAAACAGGAACUUGAAUUUAGGAACAGUCAAUGAGACAUUCCAUAGCCUCAGUUCACAGAAUUCUGCUCAUUACUGUGACCACACAUCACCAGCUGGAUCAAGUGCAGCUUAGAUUUUAGAUUUUCAAUGAUUCUGAAUAAGUGUGACGUUCUUCAUUUAAAAAACUGAAGUGAAAUUUAUGACAGAUUAAAAAAAUCUGAAAUGCUCUUAUGUGGAAGAAGAGAGACAAAGGCAAAGGAAGGUGCAGAAGGAUGAAGUCACUGGGCAGCACAGAUCGUGUUCCACAUUAAAAGCCAGGAACUCUUGUUUUAAAUUAUACUAACAAACGAGUAGAAAUGCAAGCUAGAUAUGGUGAGCACAUAGUCAC
This is a long non-coding RNA of Pongo pygmaeus (Bornean orangutan), 2912 nucleotides long. RefSeq lists it as uncharacterized. The transcript is spliced from 2 exons. The record is from RefSeq and is a predicted model, not a curated record. Lineage: Eukaryota; Metazoa; Chordata; Mammalia; Primates; Hominidae.